CGUUGUACAACCGUGGGAGGUCACAGAGUCACAGAAUAGGGCGGGAUAAUCGAUUGGGAAGCGAAAUCGAACCGUUAACCGUUUGAAACCAUCAGUGUUUGAAACUCGCUGGUUCGAAACUUUAUAAUUUGCUUGACCAUUUUUAUACAGCUUGACUGUAAGCGCGAAGUCUGUCACUGGCAACUGGCUUUAGCUAAACAUGGCAAGAACUCCUUUUAGUUUGUUAGAAGAGCCUGAAACUCGCAGGCCUUCGAAAUUACGCUUGGCUGUCAUCGUGUUGUUUGUGGCGCUGCUUGUUCUGACUGUGGUUUUCAUUUCGCUGUAUGCUGUUGAGAGAAAUAAAUCCAGUAACGAGGGAAGCGCGUCCACGAAACAGCAGGCGAAUGACACAAAUCCUUCCACAAGUAUGUCGCCAAACACGACAACUAGCAAGUCGACACAUGGUCCAUCACCAACUCCAUCAACUAAGACCUGUAGUUCUCCAGCUUGUGUCAUUAGUGCCGCAG
Paramuricea clavata is the source of this 506-nucleotide non-coding RNA. The record is from the annotation of a GenBank genome assembly. Lineage: Eukaryota; Metazoa; Cnidaria; Anthozoa; Malacalcyonacea; Plexauridae.